GCGUCAUGGAGGGAGCGCGUCGGGGCGUCAGCGAGCGCCAACUUUCACCGUGGGGACGGCUGGCUGACUCAGCCGCUCUCUGGACGGAGUUGCUGGGUCCCCACAAGCCUGCCCGUGCAGCUGAAGUGGCAGGUUAGAGUUGUGGUACUCAAACUUAAGUCCAAGCAAACAGGAGGAGCACCGGCGCGGGUUCAGUCUUUCCAAACCCAGUUCAGCCGUAAUCUCUGGAGUCAGACUUCGCCGCCCAAUUCAUGGAUUUGUGCUUUUGACUCCGCUCUGAUGUUUUUGAAUGAAUAAAGUUGCCUAGGAUACUUAAGUAUAGUUGCAGAGCGUCUUUUCGGCCCUGAAAAGAGGGAAAGUUUCCAU
RNAcentral lists this long non-coding RNA (366 nucleotides) under Homo sapiens (human). Its description in RNAcentral is "non-protein coding YTHDF3-AS1:4". The record is from RNAcentral. Lineage: Eukaryota; Metazoa; Chordata; Mammalia; Primates; Hominidae.